AGCAGCCGCGGUAAUUCCAGCUCCAAUAGCGUAUAUUAAAGUUGUUGCAGUUAAAAAGCUCGUAGUUGAAUUUCGGGAUCAAUGUUUCGGUCAUGCCGUUGGUAUGUACUGAUAUUAUUGGUUUCUCACCUUCUAAAGAACCGUAAUGCCAUUAAUUUGGUGUCACGGGGAAUUAGGACUGUUACCUUGAAAAAAUUAGAGUGUUUAAAGCAGGCUCACGCUUGAAUACAUUAGCAUGGAAUAAUGAAAUAGGACAUCCGAUUCUAUUUUGUUGGUUUCUAGGAUCGAUGUAAUGAUUAAUAGGGAUAGUUGGGGGCAUUAGUAUUCAAUUGUCAGAGGUGAAAUUCUUGGAUUUAUGAAGACUAACUACUGCGAAAGCAUUUGCCAAGGAUGUUUUCAUUAAUCAAGAACGAAAGUUAGGGGAUCGAAGACGAUCAGAUACCGUCGUAGUCUUAACCAUAAACUAUGCCGACUAGGGAUCGGAUGAUGUUAAUUUUUAAUGUACUCAUUCGGC
RNAcentral lists this ribosomal RNA (514 nucleotides) under uncultured Glomus. RNAcentral's name for it is "SSU rRNA". It matches the Rfam family "Eukaryotic small subunit ribosomal RNA", at positions 569 to 1084 of the family's 1831-position model. The record is from RNAcentral. Lineage: Eukaryota; Fungi; Glomeromycota; Glomeromycetes; Glomerales; Glomeraceae.